GGAUAAUGCAAGUGUUUAACAGAUGCUUCACUAUUAAAAUAUUUCCCCCCCAAGUCUCAAAUAUUGAAGAAUCUCUAACCAGGGACACCAGUCCCUACGAAGACCUUGGGCGAUUUUGAAGUGCGGGCACCUCGAUUCCCCGAAUCUGUAGUGUGGCUGGUAUCGGUGUUCCCCUGGUUUAACUAGCCUGUUUGAAGGCACAGAUCAUUCAUGGGGAAGUAUAACCGAAACCAGUCCUCUCCACCCCCUGGGGAUCUUCACUUUCCCAGUCUACAACUGCCUGUGACUCCAGAAAGACAAACUGCAGAUUGGCCAAGGUACAUCUCAGAUCAGAUCCCUCUGGGAAAAGCGCGGGAAUGCUUGGCUCUAGUAGUUAGGAGCUCUGGUGAGAGCGCCCCUAGUGCCAUUUUCCCAUCCCUGCCCUUGACGGUCCCCUUUGGUCUAAAUUCACGGUUCUAGACAGUCAAAGUCUACCUGCUGGGUGUCCACUCUCAAGCCAUAGGUUUUCAAUCCUAAAAGGGAUUAGGACCUUGGCUCAAAAUGUGGUCAACGCAGUGUUCAAAUUAGGAGGGCAGCUGGGAGAUGGCAGCAGGGGAUGAAAGUAUGACUCCUACUUCGUCCCCAACUGUGGGUCUGGCACCCCUUGACUUGCCAGCAUGCUGGCAAACAACCCAUCUCUCUUGGAGAAUCCACACUUCGUUUCUUCUAGGUCCAGCCUAAAUGUUACCUCCUCCAGGGAGCCUUUCCAGAUACUGCUUCUCCUCUCUCCCCCAACUCCCUCCCACAAAUGAAGUUUUCUCUUCUGAAUUCCUUCCUGGUGCUGUCACUUAUAUUCUUUUGGGUAGAUCUCUGGGCAUGCAUAUGUCACCUCCUGUGACUGUGGGUUUCUUGACAACCUAAUCAAUGCAUUGAACAAGGGAGAUGUUUAGACAACCCAUAUAAAAUGAAUAAGAGAAAUAGGGUGAAUACCGUCUACCCCAAUUGCAAUCAGAUUAGUUUCCUUUAUUUUGAAAACGAUUAUUACUAGUAGAGGAGUUAGAUGUGGCCCACUAGGGAACAAAUCUUCAUCUCCAAGCCGUCCUCUGGCUCGAUCGGGCCUGCACUGGGUCUGCAUCAACUUGCGCUGGCUCAGAGGGAGGCUCAGCCGCAGCCUGGCCUUCCUGGUGUCCACUCCCAACAUCCUGAGCAGGGCCGACUCUAGGCACCCCACGAUUAGCUGAGUGAUCUAGGGCAAGGACCUAGGCGUCUCUAAGUCUUAGUUUCCCCAUCUGAACAAUGGGGAUAAUGACACGUACCUGGGGUGGGCAGGCUAGAGUAAAUGGGAAAAUCAAAGCGCCAGCCAGAGCGGGUCGCGCUGUUAGUAUUCCUGUAUUUUCUCCUCCUGCCUCUUUGGUUUCUUCCGUUCCGUUCUAGCUGCCUGAAGACCCAGCCCGACAGCGAUGCCUGUCAGCCCGCGUCGCCCACCAGGGCAGCUGCUCUCCCGACUCGCAUGGGGGGCACCACCCCGCCUCGGUGCCCUAGAGCUGAGCGCAGCCGCGGCUCCACGGGGAUCGCCAGGGCCUCAGCCCUCGCGGCCGGCGGCGCGGGAGUGUUGCGGGGCAGGGACCAGAGCGCGAUCAGAGCGGCCAACCCCCGAUUUAGGUCGCCAGCUUUCCAGUCACUGCGAUGGCCACUGGGGCGCCCCUUCCAUCCUGGUUAAAUUCUCAUUGUGAUCCCCAGCCCUCUUCUCGGUUCCCCACACCCAGGAGGCCGGUUCUCCGCCGCUCAGGCUGGGAGAGGUCACCGCUCCGGGCAGGGUGGACCCCCAGCUCCGUCUCGGAGGACCUUUCGCCGGAGGCGAGCAGGAAGGGGUUAACCAUGAGCCUCCCACCCUCACCUCCCAGACCCUGGUGCCGGGCGAAGGCCUCCGCUUCCCUCCUGAGGUCUCAUUAGGAAACCCUCACCGCUAUUUUCAACAUUUCCUCAAUCAAGUGUCUUUAAAUAGAGCUGCACAAACAGAUUGGCGGCAAAAGCGUAGAUCUUGUCACGAUUGAGACCAAUCCAGUAUUUCAGCCUUGUUUGCUUUGCAAUUACGGGUUGGCUUGUGGCUACGGUGCCACCGGGGCAAAUCUGCAGCCGCUCGCUUUCUCCUCUGCACUCCGGGCGGGUGGAGGAAGCGACCCGCGGAGUCACUGCAGGGAGGAGAAGGGGACGCGCGCGGGGGGAGGCGGCGGAGGGCGGAGGAGCCUCGCUUGCACCCCAGGGCCGCGGGCACGCAGAGCUGUGUUGAAGGACAUACUUUUCAGGUUCCUGACAGUCACUGAGCUAUACGCAAUAAUAAAGUGCGUGAUUCGCGUGUGGAAACCAGUGUCGUGUCCUUACCAGCUUCCUUUUCUGUCCACCUUCCCUCUCUCUUCUACCUCCGUUUCGCUUUUCUUCAGUGCAUGUUAGCGGUUUGCUGGAUUUCCCUUCUCCCUCGCUGUUCAACUGCUAGCAUGAUUUGUUACAUUUUCCACAGCUGUUUAUUCUUGUUUGACUUUUUGUACAAAGUCACUUUAAAUCUGCUGCAGAAAGAAUAAAGCUCCUAGCCCUUUGGAUGGACUCCUGCAGGCGUGUGGCUGUCCCUGGCCCACUUUUAAUUCUUUGGAGAUGGCUCUUCUGUGUAAAUCAGCUGUUGGGUGCGUUCGGUCACCUCGUAGGCCAGCCUAGUUUGUAUCAGCAGAACAGUAGUGGACUCAACUCAGGUCGUAAGCUUUAUAUUUCACAGACAAUUAAAUCUUGGCUGCUGUUGAACAAAACUGUAGUAUUUACUUUAUUCUAUACCGAGGAGCACUUUUAAAGUAAAAAAGAAAAAAAACAAAUACUACACUUCAAAAAGAAAAUAUGACAAUGAAUCUCUUUUUAUGGAUUCUCUCUGCAUAAGUGGAAAUAAUAUGAUUUAAAUCCCCAACACCCCAUCCCCCUUUUCAGACACAGCUGAAGUGAUACAGAUACUGUCUUCUAACACAUAAUCUCCCUCUCUCGGGAGAGGCACCUGCCUGUGCUACAUUCGAUUUAGUUUGUAAGGUUUCAGGCCCCUCCCCGACCCAUGUAAUAUGUAGCAAGGAUUAUCAAAUAACAAGGUCUUGGAUGUGAAGUCUGCUUUACACAAGAAUUCAAGAAAGAUAGGCAGGACUUGAGUAAUUAUGUUACAACUUCAUAUUACUUUCCAAAUGAAUACCCAUUUUCUUCUCAUGUCAACUUCUAGAGAUGGGAUGCUGAGGCAGAGAAAUAUUUUUAUGGAUUCUGGAGUACAUACUAAAAUGUGCUUCCUUAUUAUUUAAGAAUGUGUAAGGUAUGGACCUACAUUUGUUUGCUGGUGGUCAUAAAAUAAAUUCAUAGCCAUUGUUGCCAAUCAGCAAUCUCCUUCACGCUUUAAAAGUUUUUGGUUUAUAAUCCCACCUGGAUUGUAUUUUCACUAUUCCGUAUCACCCUCCUAUUGCAAUAUUUUGGUUCUCAAUCUUAUGUAAAGCAAACCUCAGAAAUGAUCGUUUCCAUAAAAUUGUGCAAUGGCAAAGCCACGGAAUAAUAUUUUGAGUCCAUAUAGCCGUGCAUGCUCAUCUAUAUAGCUCUUAUACAGUUUUCUAGCUAACUGAUUGCUUUGGUAUUUCAAGAAAUAGGAAGCAGUAACUACCUAUUUGAAUGAAAGGGUACCAUUUCAUAAGAAUUCUAUUUUCACUGAAAAAAUUGGUCUGGCACAUUAUUCAAUGCAAAAGAUUAUAAUAUUACUUUCACGUGUGUUAAUCUGUUUAGUAUAAAACUGCUAGGGUGUCUUAACCAUUAACGCGUUUUGCCACACCACUUUCAAAUGGUGAUCUGAGAUAAUUACGAAGAUUUUGAUGUUAAUCCCACGUUAAAUGAACAACUAUGAAAAUAAUCUUGAAGCAUUAUUACUCCCAUAUACAUGCCAGCCAACCCAAUUGUGGAGAGAACAUGAUUACUUUUUAUCUGACAUUAUCCUAUAAGGAUAUGGCUACGUUUAUUUCUUUUAAAAUUGGAGCAGUUUUCAAUGACUUUUUAACAGAAUUGUUUUCAACACAGCAUUUUGCAGUGCCCAUAAACCAUAGCAACUUUGUCCUGAUCAAUACAUAUUUUUCUGCAUUAUUAUUCAUUAGCCUCUUUGCAAACUCACUAAAAUAGAAUAGUAGUAAAAUACGAACAUAUAGAGAACAAUUAUUAGGUUCUACAUAUUUAUUUAGGUAAACCAAUGUUAUAAAAAUUAAAAACAUGUGCCUGACAUAUAAGUGCUUCUUCAGGAAUUCUUUUUUGGAUGCAUAGUUAUUAUUUUUUAAACAAACUCAGAUUUUCAAACACUGAUUUUCUUCUCUGAACAGGCAUUGCAUUGUUUUAAACAGUAGCUCCUGGAAUAAUGCCACCUUUAGUAUUUUAGACUUUCAAACAACAAUUGGAAUUGGAUAAAUGCUUUCAGCUGGGAGCACUUUCCUAAUACCUUUGUAGGUAAUGGGAUUCUCUAUUUGUGCUGGGUGACAAACGGACAGUACCCUGGACAGACUGCCUACCCUCUGCAGAAUCUACCAAAAAGUAGAGUUUUCCCAUGAGACUGCUUGUGGUCCAUCUAAAAAUGGAAAAAAAAAAUCAGAGAAAAUGCGCAAGGCCUUUACUAACUACAGUUAUGAAAUGAUGGCUUAAAGAGGUAUUUAGAAAAUAAGAGUGGAGUAAUACAGAAACAAAAUCUGAAGAAGAAAGUUUGCUUAGGAGCUGAUGCUCUUUGUCUACAAACAAGAGGGUAAGGAGCUGGAUCCAAUUGAAUUGAAUUGUUUUUGUUUGCUUGUUUGUUUUCUUCCAUUCAGUGCCUUUCAAACUGCUUUUUACUGGAUGAAGAAACUCAACCAAGAAAAUAUAUGUCAAUUCUUGUAUAUGGGACAAUAUUAGCUGCUGUGAUUUUUAAUACUAGCAUAAAAUAUAAGAAUCUUUUUAUUACUGUGAUAUUGUUUUUUCCUAAAUGAAUGCAUAGUGUAACAAUUGGUGUCAAAAAGCACUGAAUUUUUUUCAGAUGGAUUAAGCUGGAAUAAUAAAGUAUAUCUAUGAGAUGAUUUCUGUAAACUCUGACUUGCUGAGAAAAAAGUGAAAAAGCUUUUUCUGGAAGAAACAUGGCAACUUAACCAUUAUUAAUCUGGACUAAACAAAACAGGAAACUGCUUCUUUACAUUUCUAGUAAUUUUUUCUGCUUUUCCAAACAUUGUUAAGUUCUAUGCAACUUGUGCUAUUCAAGUAAAGAUGAUGUCAGUAAUAAAAUGACAGAAUCUA
Molecule: non-coding RNA, 5286 nt
Filed under: Pan troglodytes (chimpanzee)
Lineage: Eukaryota; Metazoa; Chordata; Mammalia; Primates; Hominidae
Source: RNAcentral